This is a non-coding RNA of Picea glauca (white spruce), 1311 nucleotides long. The record is from Rfam. Lineage: Eukaryota; Viridiplantae; Streptophyta; Pinopsida; Pinales; Pinaceae.
CUCAGUGAUGAAGGAAGUACGAGUGCAAAGACAGCUAGGAGGUUUGCCUAGAAGCAGCCAACCUUGAAAGAGUGCGUAAUAGCUCACUGAUCGAGCGCUCUUGCGCCAAAGAUGAAUGGGACUAAGCGAUCUGUCGAAGCUGUGGGAUGUAAAAAUACAUCAGUAGGGGAGCAUUCUGCCUCAGAGGGAAGCACCAGAGCAAGCAGGUGUGGAUGAAGCUGAAGAGAGAAUGUCAGCUUGAGUAACGCAAACAUUGGUGAGAAUCCAAUGCCCCAAAAACCUAAGGGUUCCUCUGCAAGGUUCAUCCAUGGAGGGUGAGUUAGGGCCUAAUAUUAGGCCGAAAGGUGUAGUCGAUGGACAACAGGUUAAUAUUCCUGUACUACCCCUUGUUGGUCCCAAGGGACGGAGGAGGCUAGGUUAGCCAAAAGAUGGUUAUCGGUUCAAGGACGCAAGGUGACCCUGCUUUUUUCAGGGUAAGAAGGGGUAGAGAAAAUGCCUCGAGCCAAUGUCCGAGUACCAAGCGCUACAACACUGAAGUAACCCAUGCCAUACUCCCAGAAAAAUCUUGAACGACCUUUAACAAAUGGGUACCUGUACCCGAAACCAACACAGGUAGGUAGGUAGAGAAUACCUAGGGGCACGAGACAACUCUCUCUAAGGAACUCGGCAAAAUAGCCCCGUAACUUUGGGAGAUAUAAAUAGCCCGGGCGACUGUUUACCAAAAACACAGGUCUCCGUAAAGUCGUAAGACCAUGUAUGGUGGCUAACGCCUACCCAGUGCCAGAAGGUUAAGGAAGUUGGUGACCUGAUGAUGGGGAAGCCAGUGACCGAAGCCCUAGUGAAUGAUGGUUGUAACUAUAACGGUCCUAAGGUAGCGAAAUUACUUGUCGGGUAAGUUUCUACCUGCGCGAAAGGCGUAACGAUCUGGGCACUGUCUCAGAGAGAGACUCGGUGAAAUAGACAUGUCUGUGAAUAUGCAGACUACCUGAUAGUACUUUUACUCUUACGGGUAGACGUUAGUAGACGCUGGGUAGCCAAGUGCAGAGCGGAUAACUACUGAAAACAUAUAAGUAGGAAGCCCACCCCAAGAUGAGUGCUAUCCUAUUCUUACUUCCCUGAGAGCCCUAGUCACGAACACGGCUGGGACAAUGAUGUGUUCUCUGUCCUUGCAGGGGAUGGAGAGACAAAAGAAUUGAGAAUCCAAGAUAAGGUCACGACAAGACGAGCCAUUUAUCAUUACGAUAGGUGUCAAGUGGAAGUGCAGUGAUGUAUGCAACUGAGGCAUCCUAACAAACCGAGAUAUUUGAACCU